Molecule: long non-coding RNA, 451 nt
Filed under: Neodiprion pinetum (white pine sawfly)
Lineage: Eukaryota; Metazoa; Arthropoda; Insecta; Hymenoptera; Diprionidae
Description: uncharacterized LOC124212159, transcript variant X1
Source: RNAcentral
GGUAUGUGGGCAAAGUUUAUCAAUAAAAACAAAAAUUCCCCCGUAGACGAAACAUACGAAGCGAUAGCACACAGGUUCAAACGCAUAGCGAAUCGUACGUCGUAACAUCGAUGGCGGACAAAGGCCAAGAGUCAAUAAAAGCUGCAGAAUGUCACAAGUGUCCGGCGGCAGCUGGUAUCUGCAAAGCAAUACGUUUUGCCUUAAAAUAUGUGUGACAUAUCGUCAGCUUAGUAUCUUGUUUCACUGGUGGAUACAAGCGUGCUGCAUAUUACCUCUCUCAUGCGGAUUCACCGAAGAAGCAUAGAUCCGGCGCCUACGAAAGUCAGCUGAUACUGGCAAAUAACGAAAGAUAAAGACACUAAAAGCUUAGACUGAAUCAGAAUUGAUGUGACCUGCCCAUGGAUUGCUACAUAGUUUUUCAAAUAUGAGGAAACGACCGCAGGAUCUAACA